RNAcentral lists this ribosomal RNA (421 nucleotides) under Boletellus ananas. Its description in RNAcentral is "eukaryotic LSU rRNA". It matches the Rfam family "Eukaryotic large subunit ribosomal RNA", at positions 66 to 508 of the family's 3401-position model. Lineage: Eukaryota; Fungi; Basidiomycota; Agaricomycetes; Boletales; Boletaceae. The record is from RNAcentral.
UAACAGGAUUCCCCUAGUAACUGCGAGUGAAGCGGGAAAAGCUCAAAUUUUGAAUCUGACGGGGCCGUCCGAGUUGUAAUCUAGAGAAGCGUGUUCCGCGCUGGCCCGUGUACAAGUCUCCUGGAAGGGAGCGUCAUAGAGGGUGAGAAUCCCGUCUCUGACACGGACUGUGAUGCGCUCUCGACGAGUCGAGUUGUUUGGGAAUGCAGCUCAAAAUGGGUGGUAAACUCCAUCUAAAGCUAAAUACUGGCGAGAGACCGAUAGCGAACAAGUACCGUGAGGGAAAGAUGAAAAGAACUUUGGAAAGAGAGUUAAACAGUACGUGAAAUUGCUGAAAGGGAAACGCUCGACGUCAGUCGCGUCGGCCAGGGAUCAACCUCGCGCUGGGUGCACUUCCUGGUCGACGGGUCAGCGUCAGUUU